CCUACGGGAGACAGCAGUGAGGAAUAUUGGUCAAUGGACGAGAGUCUGAACCAGCCAAGUAGCGUGAAGGAUGACUGCCCUAUGGGUUGUAAACUUCUUUUAUAUGGGAAUAAAAUGUUCCACGUGUGGGAUUUUGUAUGUACCAUAUGAAUAAGGAUCGGCUAACUCCGUGCCAGCAGCCGCGGUAAUACGGAGGAUCCGAGCGUUAUCCGUAUUUAUUGGGUUUAAAGGGAGCGUAGGUGGAUUGUUAAGUCAGUUGUGAAAGUUUGCGGCUCAACCGUAAAAUUGCAGUUGAAACUGGCAGUCUUGAGUACAGUAGAGGUGGGCGGAAUUCGUGGUGUAGCGGUGAAAUGCUUAGAUAUCACGAAGAACUCCGAUUGCGAAGGCAGUUCACUGGACUGCAACUGACACUGAGGCUCGAAAGUGUGGGUAUCAAACAGGAUUAGAUACCCUUGUAGUC
This 460-nucleotide ribosomal RNA is filed under the name uncultured bacterium. RNAcentral describes it as "partial 16S ribosomal RNA". It matches the Rfam family "Bacterial small subunit ribosomal RNA", at positions 338 to 795 of the family's 1533-position model. The record is from RNAcentral.